AUGCUUAAGUCUUCUGGAAAAGGAAGCGCCCAUGGAGGGUUGAUAGCCCCGUCUAGCAUUGACCUCAUAUUAGGAUCUUAACAUGGAGUCGAGUUGUUUGGGGAAUGCAGCUCAAAUGGGUGGUAUGCUCCAUCUAAAGCUAAAUAUCUGCGAGAGACCGAUAGUAAACAAGUACUGUGAGGGAAAGAUGAAAAGAACUUUGAAAAGAGAGUGAAAGAGUACGUGAAAUUGUUGAAAUGGAAGGGUAUGCCGCUAACCAUGUAUAACCCUGUUGGGGGGGAAGAUGUAUGCU
This 292-nucleotide ribosomal RNA is filed under the name Starmerella bacillaris. RNAcentral describes it as "partial large subunit ribosomal RNA". It matches the Rfam family "Eukaryotic large subunit ribosomal RNA", at positions 177 to 468 of the family's 3401-position model. Lineage: Eukaryota; Fungi; Ascomycota; Dipodascomycetes; Dipodascales; Trichomonascaceae. The record is from RNAcentral.